UACAGAGGUCUCAAGCGUUGUUCGGAUUCAUUGGGCGUAAAGGGUGUGUAGGUGGCGCCGUAAGUCGGGUGUGAAAUUUCGGAGCUUAACUCCGAAACUGCAUUCGAUACUGCGGUGCUUGAGGACUGGAGAGGAGACUGGAAUUCCUGGUGUAGCGGUGAAAUGCGUAGAUAUCAGGAGGAACACCGGUGGUGUAGACGGCUUUCUGGACCGUAACUGACGCUGAGACACGAAAGCGUGGGUAGCAAACAGG
RNAcentral lists this ribosomal RNA (253 nucleotides) under uncultured bacterium. Its description in RNAcentral is "partial 16S ribosomal RNA". It matches the Rfam family "Bacterial small subunit ribosomal RNA", at positions 524 to 776 of the family's 1533-position model. The record is from RNAcentral.